RNAcentral lists this transfer RNA (64 nucleotides) under Stephanitis chinensis. RNAcentral describes it as "tRNA-Ile". The record is from RNAcentral. Lineage: Eukaryota; Metazoa; Arthropoda; Insecta; Hemiptera; Tingidae.
AAUAAGAUGCCUGAUAAAAGGGUUAUUUUGAUAGGAUAAAUCAUGUAUUAAGUUACUCUUAUUA